RNAcentral lists this ribosomal RNA (355 nucleotides) under Pseudomonas aeruginosa. RNAcentral's name for it is "bacterial SSU rRNA". It matches the Rfam family "Bacterial small subunit ribosomal RNA", at positions 426 to 773 of the family's 1533-position model. Lineage: Bacteria; Pseudomonadati; Pseudomonadota; Gammaproteobacteria; Pseudomonadales; Pseudomonadaceae. The record is from RNAcentral.
UAAAGCACUUUCAGCGGGGAGGAAGGCGGUGAGGUUAAUAACCUCAUCGAUUGACGUUACCCGCAGAAGAAGCACCGGCUAACUCCGUGCCAGCAGCCGCGGUAAUACGGAGGGUGCAAGCGUUAAUCGGAAUUACUGGGCGUAAAGCGCACGCAGGCGGUCUGUCAAGUCGGAUGUGAAAUCCCCGGGCUCAACCUGGGAACUGCAUUCGAAACUGGCAGGCUAGAGUCUUGUAGAGGGGGGUAGAAUUCCAGGUGUAGCGGUGAAAUGCGUAGAGAUCUGGAGGAAUACCGGUGGCUAAGGCGGCCCCCUGGACAAAGACUGACGCUCAUGUGCGAAAGCGUGGGGAGCAAAC